RNAcentral lists this ribosomal RNA (319 nucleotides) under Tolypothrix sp. LEGE 11397. RNAcentral describes it as "bacterial SSU rRNA". It matches the Rfam family "Bacterial small subunit ribosomal RNA", at positions 1 to 349 of the family's 1533-position model. Lineage: Bacteria; Bacillati; Cyanobacteriota; Cyanophyceae; Nostocales; Tolypothrichaceae. The record is from RNAcentral.
AAAAUGGAGAGUUUGAUCCUGGCUCAGGAUGAACGCUGGCGGUAUGCUUAACACAUGCAAGUCGAACGGUCUCUUCGGAGAUAGUGGCGGACGGGUGAGUAACGCGUGAGAAUCUAGCUCUAGGUCGGGGACAACCACUGGAAACGGUGGCUAAUACCGGAUGUGCCGGAAGGUGAAAGAUUUAUUGCCUAGAGAUGAGCUCGCGUCUGAUUAGCUAGUAGGUGUGGUAAGAGCGCACCUAGGCGACGAUCAGUAGCUGGUCUGAGAGGAUGAUCAGCCACACUGGGACUGAGACACGGCCCAGACUCCUACGGGAGGC